RNAcentral lists this long non-coding RNA (653 nucleotides) under Cyanistes caeruleus (blue tit). Its description in RNAcentral is "lncRNA (ENSCCEG00000014786.1)". Lineage: Eukaryota; Metazoa; Chordata; Aves; Passeriformes; Paridae. The record is from RNAcentral.
UUUCUUGUCUAAACAAGUCAAAGCUGAAGGAUCAUCUCAUAAAAUAGGCACAGAAUCUGGUUCACUGCUGUUUUGAAGUCAGGUGUUCAGACUGGGAUUUCUAAAGGGCAUAUAUAUAAAACUUAUAUCACAAUAAAGCCUCUCCUCUGGUAAUAUAAAUAGAGCAGUAAUUUUAAAUUUGUAAGCACAGAUAUAUACAUGUAUUAUUAUAUAAAAUAGUUGUUAUUGUCUUCUUCUGCAGGAUUUGCAUCUUCUUAGUGAUUAAGGAACAGAGAACAGAUGAGCUCUCUUGAGGCCAAAUUUAAUUUCUGAGAUUUAUUUGACCUGAGGACAAUUUGGCACAAAAUAGGCAAGAAAAGUGAAGAAUGCCAUUGGUGGUUAUCAAAAAGGAAAGAUCUCUCAGAAUACAGAAACCAUCCUCCUUUGUACACCAGGAGCUGCAGUCCACAGCUGAGCUCUCAUGAAAAGUUUCAGAUGCCUGGUCAGGGCUAUGUGAAGUGUUUCAUAAUCAGAAGACUCAGAUGAUGAACCUGACCUUUACAAGCAGAGCUGGAUUUUAAUUUCCUCUUCACCUUUGGGGAAUUCUGAUAUAUCAAGAUUUUGGUCCCAGCUGUAACAAAGGUGUCAUGGCCAAGUAUAACAUUUGCAUGAAG